RNAcentral lists this transfer RNA (71 nucleotides) under Darevskia saxicola. RNAcentral's name for it is "tRNA-Gln". It matches the Rfam family "tRNA". Rfam says of the family: Transfer RNA (tRNA) molecules are approximately 80 nucleotides in length. Their secondary structure includes four short double-helical elements and three loops (D, anti-codon, and T loops). Lineage: Eukaryota; Metazoa; Chordata; Lepidosauria; Squamata; Lacertidae. RNAcentral also lists the same sequence under 2 other names. The record is from RNAcentral.
UAGAAGGUAGUAUAGUGGGAGUGCAGAGGGUUUUGGAGUCUCAGGUGUGGGUUCGAAUCCCAUUCUUCUAA